This 1394-nucleotide small RNA is filed under the name Pongo abelii (Sumatran orangutan). RNAcentral describes it as "processed transcript". Lineage: Eukaryota; Metazoa; Chordata; Mammalia; Primates; Hominidae. The record is from RNAcentral.
AAAAAUUGAUGGAACCAGAACACCCCGAGAUGAGAGGAGAAGAGCCCAGCACAACGAAGACGGAAUCUCGCUCUGUCACAGUGGUGCGAUCUGAGCUUACUGCAACCUCUGCCUCCCCGGUUCAAGUGAUUCUCCUGCCUCAGUCUCCCAAGUAGCUGGGACUACAGGUGCCCACUGCCACACCUAGCUAGUUUUUGUAUUUUUAGUAGAGAUGGGGUUUCACCAUGUUGGCCAGGCUGGUCUCAAACUCCUGGCCUCAGGUUAUCCACCUGCCUCAGCCUCCCAAAGUGCUGGGAUUACAGGAGUGAGCCACUGCACCCGGCCCCUUCUACUCACUUUGGAUUCAAUUUGCUAGGUUUUGUGCUUUAGCUUCCCUGGCACACCCCAACCCCAGCUUUUUAAGUUCCUUGAAAUUCGAUGAGACUUACCCGACGGGCCCGAUUGUGUCCUAGCUUGGCGGAAGCUUCUGGGGCAUUGACGAGGACAGGUGUCUGCUGCUGUCAGGCAGAAUGUCCCCCCAGUGGAGCGGAGGCGGAGGGACAAGAUCAACAACUGGAUCGUCCAGCUUUCAAAAAUCAUUCCAGACUGUAACGCAGACAACAGCAAGACGGGAGCGAGUAAAGGAGGGAUCCUGUCCAAGGCCUGCGAUUACAUCCGGGAGUUGCGCCAGACCAACCAGCGCAUGCAGGAGACCUUCAAAGAGGCCGAGCGGCUGCAGAUGGACAACGAGCUCCUGAGGCAGCAGAUCGAGGAGCUAAAGAAUGAGAACGCCCUGCUUCGAGCCCAGCUGCAGCAGCACAACCUGGAGAUGGUGGGCGAGGGCACCCGGCAGUGACACCCGCCACCGCUGCGCAGCUGCCGCCGCCCACGCCGGCCUCUGCUGCCCCCUUCCCCAGCCCUUAGCACAGAGAGGGACACACGCCCCUCCCCCAGCUGCGUUUUUUUAUAGUAGAUUUUUAACAAAAAACGGGGAGAAAUAAUGCAUUUCUGUGGAUACAGUGCCCACCGCCCUCCUCCACUUGGAAACAGUAUCCUCCCUCCCCAUCCGUCUGUCUGUCGCCCUUCUCCCGGCCCUCACUAAGCCCCGGCACUUCUAGUGGUCUCACCUGGAGGCAAGAGGGAGGGGACAGAGGCCCUGCCACGUCCCGCUGCCUCCUGUUCUCUGGAGGUACUGAGACAGGGUGCUGAGGGGAAGGAGGGGAGCCUUUGGGGGGCCACCCGGGGCCUGGACCUAUGCAGGGAGGCCACGUCCCACCCCACCUCUUGUUUCUGGGUCCCUGCUCCCCUUUGGGUGUGUGUGUGUGUGUUUUAAUUUUCUUUAUGGAAAAAUUGACAAAAAAAAUAGAGAGAGAGAGAGGUAUUUAACUGCAAUAAACUGGCCCCACGUGGCCCCU